Molecule: transfer RNA, 67 nt
Filed under: Sphenomorphus incognitus
Lineage: Eukaryota; Metazoa; Chordata; Lepidosauria; Squamata; Scincidae
Description: tRNA-Lys
Source: RNAcentral
CGCUGAGAAGCUUCUAUAGCACUAGCCUUUUAAGCUAGAGAGGGGGGCUUAUACUCCCUCAGUGAAC